GCCUAGUUAGCUUAGUUGGUAGUGCGUCUGCCUUGUAAGCGCUACGUCGCGGGUUCGAGUCCCGCCCGGGGCG
This 73-nucleotide transfer RNA is filed under the name Diaphorina citri (Asian citrus psyllid). It matches the Rfam family "tRNA". From Rfam's summary of the family: Transfer RNA (tRNA) molecules are approximately 80 nucleotides in length. Their secondary structure includes four short double-helical elements and three loops (D, anti-codon, and T loops). The record is from Rfam by way of RNAcentral. Lineage: Eukaryota; Metazoa; Arthropoda; Insecta; Hemiptera; Psyllidae.